UACGUAGGGGGCAAGCGUUGUCCGGAAUUAUUGGGCGUAAAGCGCGCGCAGGCGGUUCUUUAAGUCUGGUGUUUAAGUGCGGGGCUCAACCCCGUGACGCACUGGAAACUGGGGAACUUGAGUGCAGAAGAGGAGAGCGGAAUUCCACGUGUAGCGGUGAAAUGCGUAGAGAUGUGGAGGAACACCAGUGGCGAAGGCGGGUCUCUGGGCCGUAACUGACGCUGAGGAGCGAAAGCAUGGGGAGCGAACAGG
This 252-nucleotide ribosomal RNA is filed under the name uncultured bacterium. Its description in RNAcentral is "partial 16S ribosomal RNA". It matches the Rfam family "Bacterial small subunit ribosomal RNA", at positions 524 to 776 of the family's 1533-position model. The record is from RNAcentral.